UACGGAAGGCAGCAGUGGGGAAUAUUGCACAAUGGGCGCAAGCCUGAUGCAGCCAUGCCGCGUGUAUGAAGAAGGCCUUCGGGUUGUAAAGUACUUUUCAGCGGGGAGGAAGGCGGUGAAGUUAAUAGCUUCACCGAUUGACGUUACCCGCAGAAGAAGCACCGGCUAACUCCGUGCCAGCAGCCGCGGUAAUACGGAGGGUGCAAGCGUUAAUCGGAAUUACUGGGCGUAAAGCGCACGCAGGCGGUCUGUCAAGUCGGAUGUGAAAUCCCCGGGCUUAACCUGGGAACUGCAUUCGAAACUGGCAGGCUAGAGUCUUGUAGAGGGGGUAGAAUUCCAGGUGUAGCGGUGAAAUGCGUAGAGAUCUGGAGGAAUCCGGUGGCGAAGGCGGCCCCUGGGACAAAGCUGACGCUCAGGGUGCGAAAGCGUGGGGAGCAAACGAGGAUUAGGAU
Molecule: ribosomal RNA, 452 nt
Filed under: uncultured bacterium
Lineage: Bacteria
Description: bacterial SSU rRNA
Rfam family: Bacterial small subunit ribosomal RNA
Source: RNAcentral